AUACGUAGGGGGCGAGCGUUGUCCGGAAUGAUUGGGCGUAAAGGGCGCGUAGGCGGCCCGGUAAGUCUGGAGUGAAAGUCCUGUUUUUAAGAUGGGAAUUGCUUUGGAUACUGUCGGGCUUGAGUGCAGGAGAGGUAAGUGGAAUUCCCAGUGUAGCGGUGAAAUGCGUAGAGAUUGGGAGGAACACCAGUGGCGAAGGCGACUUGCUGGACUGUAACUGACGCUGAGGCGCGAAAGUGUGGGGAGCAAACAGGAUUAGAUACCCUGGUAGUCCACACUGUAAACGAUGAAUGCUAGGUGUAGGGGGUAUCGACCCCUUCUGUGCCGGAGUAAACGCAAUAAGCAUUCCGCCUGGGGAGUACGGCCGCAAGGUUGAAACUCAAAUGAAUUGACGGGG
RNAcentral lists this ribosomal RNA (397 nucleotides) under uncultured bacterium. RNAcentral's name for it is "partial 16S ribosomal RNA". It matches the Rfam family "Bacterial small subunit ribosomal RNA", at positions 523 to 918 of the family's 1533-position model. The record is from RNAcentral.